AUGUUCCCUAUGGUAACUGGGUUCAUGAGUUAUGGUCAACAAACAACACGUGCUACAAGGUACAUAGGUCAAAGUUUCAUAACUACCUUAUCCCACACAAAUCGUUUACCUAUAACGAUUCACUACCCUUAUGAAAAAUUAAUUACACCAGAGCGUUUCUAG
RNAcentral lists this ribosomal RNA (162 nucleotides) under Triticum aestivum (bread wheat). Its description in RNAcentral is "partial small subunit ribosomal RNA". Lineage: Eukaryota; Viridiplantae; Streptophyta; Magnoliopsida; Poales; Poaceae. The record is from RNAcentral.